Molecule: ribosomal RNA, 291 nt
Filed under: uncultured bacterium
Lineage: Bacteria
Description: partial 16S ribosomal RNA
Rfam family: Bacterial small subunit ribosomal RNA
Source: RNAcentral
CUGUGCCUACGGGGCGCAGCAGUCGAGAAUCAUUCACAAUGGGGGAAACCCUGAUGGUGCGACGCCGCGUGGGGGAAUGAAGGUCUUCGGAUUGUAACCCCCUGUCAUGUGGGAGCAAAUUAAAAGGAUAGUACCACAAGAGGAAGAGACGGCUAACUCUGUGCCAGCAGCCGCGGUAAUACAGAGGUCUCAAGCGUUGUUCGGAAUCACUGGGCGUAAAGCGUGCGUAGGCUGUUUCGUAAGUCGUGUGUGAAGGGCGCUGGCUCAACCCGCGGACGGCACAUGAUACUG